AUACGUAGGGGGCGAGCGUUGUCCGGAAUGAUUGGGCGUAAAGGGCGCGUAGGCGGCCCGGUAAGUCUGGAGUGAAAGUCCUGUUUUUAAGAUGGGAAUUGCUUUGGAUACUGUCGGGCUUGAGUGCAGGAGAGGUAAGUGGAAUUCCCAGUGUAGCGGUGAAAUGUGUAGAGAUUGGGAGGAACACCAGUGGCGAAGGCGACUUACUGGACUGUAACUGACGCUGAGGCGCGAAAGUGUGGGGAGCAAACAGGAUUAGAUACCCUGGUAGUCCACACUGUAAACGAUGAAUGCUAGGUGUAGGGGGUAUCGACCCCUU
Molecule: ribosomal RNA, 319 nt
Filed under: uncultured bacterium
Lineage: Bacteria
Description: partial 16S ribosomal RNA
Rfam family: Bacterial small subunit ribosomal RNA
Source: RNAcentral